AUGCAGUGAGGGUUGAGAUUUUAGUUAUCAGAUUCAAACUUGCAUCAUUUUACCUUGUCACUUAAUUUGUUUUUAAAUAGAUAAGAUGGAAUGUGAAGAUUUAAAUUCUGUUGGUGGUGUUAUAAUAAUUAUGGCAAUGCUUCUCUAGUCUAUUAUACGUGGUCAAAUUGUUUCAUUUAAAGGGAUGAAUUGAUUAAUUCUCUCCAUUUUAUUGGCAACUUCAAAGAUCGUUCUCUUACCAUUUCAAAAUUUGAGCAAUUUAAUAGAAUGCUCACUAUCACUAUACAACCCAUGUCUGAAAACUUAUGGGUUCCUGCCGUUGAUCUGUUUCAUACUUUUGUUUAUCAUUUGGCAUGCAUUUCUAUGUAUAUAAAUACAUUUUCUGCCUCAUCUCAGUACCUGCCAUAAAUUUUUGUCAUAUUCAUGUCCUUAAGAAAGCAUAGUCUUUUUUUUUCCUUCAAUUUUUUGUUCUUUCACUUGGAAAACUGUCUUCUUCUCAUGGUUUUUUUUGCUAUGCAAGUCCAUGUUUACAAUUUUAUGACUUGUCAAGGUAUAGAUGUAACUAGGCAUGCUUACAUCCUACAAUUUGUGAACAGGAUUUUACUGAAGAUGUGUAAAGAGAUGGCAAAAAUAUCUAUCAAACAUCUAAAACCAAAUGAUUGUAUUUGUGUUUCAAGUCAUUUAGGAUCAUAUAAAAGAUGAGAAUGAAAAUCUCAAAACAUAUUACGAGCUAAUUGUGAAGGAAAUAAAUUAUGUUGUGCAACCUGGUCAAGGCCCAACUAAGAAGUUUCACAAGUCGAAGAAGAGGAAUGACUGGAUUGAUCCUCGAUGCACUGACCUACAUGUAAGAAUUUAACAAUAGAAUGACAUUGAGACCCUCUUCUACCAUAUCCGAAGCUACAUCAAGAGCACGUGAUAAGAAAAUGGAGAUCUUGAUAUGUUUUGUUAAUUAAGAUUUUAUUUAGUUUGAAUUUUAAUUGUUGGUUUGGAUAGUAUAUAUAUUGUUGGAUUA
This is a non-coding RNA of Camellia sinensis, 1012 nucleotides long. The record is from RefSeq and is a predicted model, not a curated record. Lineage: Eukaryota; Viridiplantae; Streptophyta; Magnoliopsida; Ericales; Theaceae.